Molecule: long non-coding RNA, 1456 nt
Organism: Bactrocera latifrons
Lineage: Eukaryota; Metazoa; Arthropoda; Insecta; Diptera; Tephritidae
Exons: 3
Source: RefSeq, a predicted model, not a curated record
UUUUAAAAUAGUAUAAAAUCGUUAAAAUUCAUGAUUUGCGUGAACAAAAGUUUUCUCAUAUAGCCGGUGAAAAUGGAACACCGUCUAAAGGCGGAUCUGCCGGUCAACAGACCGCCACAGACCACACCAUUCCGUUGAUUUAAUUAUUUUUUCAACGAUGACUUGCAAAAUUAAAUUGUGUAUCAGAGCAAUUUGUAUGCAAAACAGCAAGAUGCUUCUACAAACUUUACGUUGACAUCGUGUGAUUUAAAAAAAUAUAUCGGAAUUUUGAUUUAUAUGUCUGUGUACCGAUAUCCCAGUGUCGAGAGUUACUGGUCCAACAUUCUUUCGAGCCAGUUAGAAACGCAAUGUCUUCCAAAAAGUUCUUCUCAAUCGGAAAAUAUCUUCACUUCAAUGAUAGCAAAAAUAUGAAAAAACCACAGGAAGCAGGAUUUGAUGAACUGCAUAAAAUUUGUCCAAACUCAAUAUGCAAUUUGAUUCUGUGCCAAAAACAGCUCGGUUGUGCAUUGAUGAACAAAUGUGUUCAACAAAAAUGUUGACAAAAUUUCGACAAUAUAUGCCCGUAAAGCCCUAUAAAUAUGGCAUGAAACUUUUUGUUCUUUGUGACUCGAAUGGCUUUUCGUACAAAUUGGAAGUAUACAAAGGAGCUGGCGAUAAUAAAGUAUUACCUAAUACUCCUGAUUGAGGAUCAACAGCCAAUGUAGUCAUGAAGUUGUUAAGAACCGUCCGAUCUACAGAAUACCCAACUACAAGCUGACAAAGGAAGUGGAAUUAAAAGAUAAAGAACGUGGAUACUCAGAGGAGUUUGUUGGCCGAGUCUUUAGAGUGGACAUAUCUUGUGUUCAAUGGAAGGAUACAAAAUAUGUACGACUGCUAUCCACGUAUGCUGGAAUUAAUCCAUUUAAAACACUAAACCGCAAUUCACAACCCUUAAAAAUAUGCCGUUAUGAUCGGAAAAAUAAAUGCUACGUCGAUCUAGACUGUCCUAAUAUAAUUAAAGAAUAUAACCGCCAUAUGGGUGGUGUUGAUUUGAUGGACAGUUUACUUGGUCACAUCAGAGUUAAGACCAAAAAAUGGACUUUGCGUUUAUUUUAUCACUUAAUUGAUAUGUCGAUAGUAAAAUCAUGCCUCCUUUUUCAGCGUAUUCAUGGAAUUAACUGUAAAGAUAUUUAUCAUAAAGAAUUACCAAAUUUUCGUGUUGAAGUGGCUUACAUAUGUACUUUGUCAUUAUGAGUAGACCAACGCCAAAAGAGCUGUCGGUAGACCUCAGAGCCAAAGUCCACAAAUACAAAAUGGAGUUGGACAUAUGCCUGACGUUUUGAGCCGUAGUGACAAAAAAGUAUGUAAACUUCCGGGAUGUAAGUCCGAAACACAAAUGUAGUUGUGUAAGUGUAAAUUAAAUCUGGGUCUCUCAAACAAUGUUUUCAAAUUUAUCAUCAAAACAAUAAAAGGAUCU